GGGGAUCGAAAGACCUUGCGCUUUUGGAGCGGCCGAUGUCUGAUUAGCUAGUUGGUGGGGUAAAGGCCUACCAAGGCGACGAUCAGUAGUUGGUCUGAGAGGACGACCAGCCACACUGGGACUGAGACACGGCCCAGACUCCUACGGGAGGCAGCAGUGGGGAAUUUUGGACAAUGGGCGCAAGCCUGAUCCAGCAAUGCCGCGUGAGUGAAGAAGGCCUUCGGGUUGUAAAGCUCUUUCAGUCGAGAAGAAAAGGCUGCAGUGAAUAACUGCAGUUCAUGACGGUAUCGACAGAAGAAGCACCGGCUAACUACGUGCCAGCAGCCGCGGUAAUACGUAGGGUGCGAGCGUUAAUCGGAAUUA
This 363-nucleotide ribosomal RNA is filed under the name uncultured bacterium. Its description in RNAcentral is "SSU rRNA". It matches the Rfam family "Bacterial small subunit ribosomal RNA", at positions 195 to 553 of the family's 1533-position model. The record is from RNAcentral.